RNAcentral lists this long non-coding RNA (301 nucleotides) under Pelobates cultripes (western spadefoot toad). The record is from RNAcentral. Lineage: Eukaryota; Metazoa; Chordata; Amphibia; Anura; Pelobatidae.
CCAUGUACUGUGACGGCACUCUCAUUGCGGAUAACUCCGAUCUGAUACACAGCAGCAACGACUUUGAGGGUGACAUACGAGGACCACAUCUGACACCUUUAUUGAGUCCUCUUUUCAGCGCACAACAGGAAUUCAGCAGGUUUAAAAACCCUCCAAUAGACACUUCUCCAUUCUUCACAGAGUCUUCAUUUUUUCCAGUUGCUACUAAGGCUACAAUCCAUCUGGAUAUCCAACUUGGUGAGAUCCACCUAUUUAUUAUCUAAAGUGCACCAUUCUCUGGACUAUUGUACAUCAGGACAUU